GACGAACGCUGGCGGCAUGCUUAACACAUGCAAGUCGAGCGGUAAGGCCCUUUCGGGGGUACACGAGCGGCGAACGGGUGAGUAACACGUGGGUGACCUGCCCUUAGCUCUGGGAUAAGCCUGGGAAACUGGGUCUAAUACCGGAUAUGACUCCAUGACGCAUGUUGUGGGGUGGAAAGCCUUGUGCGGCUAGGGAUGGGCCCGCGGCCUAUCAGCUUGUUGGUGGGGUGAUGGCCACCAAGGCGACGACGGGUAGCCGGCCUGAGAGGGCGACCGGCCACACUGGGACUGAGAUACGGCCCAGACUCCUACGGGAGGCAGCAGUGGGGGAUCUUGCGCAAUGGGCGAAAGCCUGACGCAGCGACGCCGCGUGCGGGAAGAAGGCCUCGGUUGUAA
RNAcentral lists this ribosomal RNA (396 nucleotides) under uncultured bacterium. Its description in RNAcentral is "bacterial SSU rRNA". It matches the Rfam family "Bacterial small subunit ribosomal RNA", at positions 28 to 428 of the family's 1533-position model. The record is from RNAcentral.